AGGCUUAACACAUGCAAGUCGAGCGGGCACUUUCGGGUGUCAGCGGCGGACGGGUGAGUAACGCGUGGGAACGUGCCCUCUGGUUCGGAAUAACUCAGGGAAACUUGAGCUAAUACCGGAUACGCCCUUUUGGGGAAAGGCUUGCUGCCGGAGGAUCGGCCCGCGUCUGAUUAGCUAGUUGGUGAGGUAACGGCUCACCAAGGCGACGAUCAGUAGCUGGUCUGAGAGGAUGAUCAGCCACACUGGGACUGAGACACGGCCCAGACUCC
This 269-nucleotide ribosomal RNA is filed under the name unidentified marine bacterioplankton. RNAcentral's name for it is "partial 16S ribosomal RNA". It matches the Rfam family "Bacterial small subunit ribosomal RNA", at positions 46 to 339 of the family's 1533-position model. RNAcentral also lists the same sequence under 1 other name. The record is from RNAcentral.